GACCUGACUCGAGCUAACCCAUAAACCCAUGAUUUAUAAAAUUUAUAUCUUAGAUCUUUGAUUCUCAAAUCUAGAUUACUUAAUUCAUAAUUAAGUUUUGGGCUAACAUUGAUUGGGGUUCGAUAUUUGAAAAUAGUUUCAAGUUUUAUAAAAUAUUUUUGCAAACUAUCAUACAAUCAAAUAAAAUUAAUUUCAGAUCUAACAUGCAUUAUAUCAGAUCUAAAAAAAAAAUUUAACUCUUUUUAUUGUUCAUCUUCAUGGAAAAUACCGCACAGCAUCCCUAUACACUAUAGGAGAACUCCAUCG
Molecule: long non-coding RNA, 306 nt
Filed under: Elaeis guineensis (African oil palm)
Lineage: Eukaryota; Viridiplantae; Streptophyta; Magnoliopsida; Arecales; Arecaceae
Description: long non-coding RNA (EGUI_LNC061276)
Source: RNAcentral